RNAcentral lists this ribosomal RNA (252 nucleotides) under uncultured bacterium. Its description in RNAcentral is "partial 16S ribosomal RNA". It matches the Rfam family "Bacterial small subunit ribosomal RNA", at positions 524 to 776 of the family's 1533-position model. The record is from RNAcentral.
UACGGAGGGUGCGAGCGUUGUCCGGAAUCACUGGGCGUAAAGGGCGCGUAGGCGGCCUGAUAAGUAGGGGUGAAAUCUUGCGGCUUAACCGCAAGGCUGCCUUCUAAACUGUCGGGCUAGAGCACAGUAGAGGCAGGUGGAAUUCCCGGUGUAGCGGUGGAAUGCGUAGAGAUCGGGAAGAACAUCAGUGGCGAAGGCGGCCUGCUGGGCUGUUGCUGACGCUGAGGCGCGACAGCGUGGGGAGCAAACAGG